AACUCAUAAGUCAAGGCCCCACUGUAUUGGUCAUUCAAGUAGGGCAAAGGAAAUACCUUUUAAAACUCAAGCAAGCUGGGUGUUUGUCUUGCAUCCUGUCAGAGGAAACAAAA
This is a non-coding RNA of Myotis davidii, 113 nucleotides long. NCBI's taxonomy places the organism in Eukaryota, Metazoa, Chordata, Mammalia, Chiroptera, Vespertilionidae. The record is from Rfam.